RNAcentral lists this ribosomal RNA (371 nucleotides) under uncultured organism. RNAcentral describes it as "partial 16S ribosomal RNA". It matches the Rfam family "Bacterial small subunit ribosomal RNA", at positions 527 to 896 of the family's 1533-position model. The record is from RNAcentral.
GUAGGUGGCAAGCGUUGUCCGGAAUUAUUGGGCGUAAAUCGCGCGCAGGCGGUUCUUUAAGUCUGAUGUGAAAGCCCACGGCUCAACCGUGGAGGGUCAUUGGAAACUGGAGAACUUGAGUACAGAAGAGGAAAGCGGAAUUCCACGUGUAGCGGUGAAAUGCGUAGAGAUGUGGAGGAACACCAGUGGCGAAGGCGGCUUUCUGGUCUGUAACUGACGCUGAGGCGCGAAAGCGUGGGGGAGCAAACAGGAUUAGAUACCCUGGUAGUCCACGCCGUAAACGAUGAGUGCUAAGUGUUAGGGGGUUUCCGCCCCUUAGUGCUGCAGCUAACGCAUUAAGCACUCCGCCUGGGAGUACGGCCGCAAGGCUG